This 500-nucleotide ribosomal RNA is filed under the name uncultured bacterium. RNAcentral's name for it is "partial 16S ribosomal RNA". It matches the Rfam family "Bacterial small subunit ribosomal RNA", at positions 30 to 523 of the family's 1533-position model. The record is from RNAcentral.
AUUGAACGCUGGCGGCAUGCUUUACACAUGCAAGUCGAACGGUAACAGGGUGCUUGCACCGCUGACGAGUGGCGAACGGGUGAGUAAUGCGUCGGAACGUGCCGAGUAGUGGGGGAUAACGCAUCGAAAGGUGUGCUAAUACCGCAUACGUACUGAGGUAGAAAGUGGGGGACCUUCGGGCCUCACGCUAUUCGAGCGGCCGACGUCUGAUUAGCUAGUUGGUGAGGUAAAGGCUCACCAAGGCGACGAUCAGUAGCGGGUCUGAGAGGAUGAUCCGCCACACUGGGACUGAGACACGGCCCAGACUCCUACGGGAGGCAGCAGUGGGGAAUUUUGGACAAUGGGCGCAAGCCUGAUCCAGCCAUGCCGCGUGUCUGAAGAAGGCCUUCGGGUUGUAAAGGACUUUUGUCCGGGAGCAAAUACCCAGUGCUAAUAACGCUGGGGGCUGAGAGUACCGGAAGAAUAAGCACCGGCUAACUACGUGCCAGCAGCCGCCGUAA